UGAGUUUGAUUCUGGCUCAGAUUGAACGCUGGCGGCAUGCCUUACACAUGCAAGUCGAACGGCAGCACGGAGCUUGCUCUGGUGGCGAGUGGCGAACGGGUGAGUAAUAUAUCGGAACGUACCCUGGAGUGGGGGAUAACGUAGCGAAAGUUACGCUAAUACCGCAUACGAUCUACGGAUGAAAGUAGGGGAUCGCAAGACCUCAUGCUCGUGGAGCGGCCGAUAUCUGAUUAGCUAGUUGGUAGGGUAAAAGCCUACCAAGGCAUCGAUCAGUAGCUGGUCUGAGAGGACGACCAGCCACACUGGAACUGAGACACGGUCC
This 322-nucleotide ribosomal RNA is filed under the name uncultured bacterium. RNAcentral's name for it is "bacterial SSU rRNA". It matches the Rfam family "Bacterial small subunit ribosomal RNA", at positions 1 to 332 of the family's 1533-position model. The record is from RNAcentral.